CUACGGGAGGCUGCAGUGGGGAAUAUUGGACAAUGGGCGAAAGCCUGAUCCAGCCAUGCCGCGUGUGUGAAGAAGGCCUUCGGGUUGUAAAGCACUUUCAGUGGGGAAGAAAGCCUUGGGGCUAAUACCCUCGAGGAAGGACAUCACCCACAGAAGAAGCACCGGCUAACUCCGUGCCAGCAGCCGCGGUAAUACGGAGGGUGCGAGCGUUAAUCGGAAUUACUGGGCGUAAAGCGCGCGUAGGCGGUCUGAUAAGCCGGUUGUGAAAGCCCCGGGCUCAACCUGGGAACGGCAUCCGGAACUGUCAGGCUAGAGUGCAGGAGAGGAAGGUAGAAUUCCCGGUGUAGCAGUGAAAUGCGUAGAGAUCGGGAGGAAUACCAGUGGCGAAGGCGGCCUUCUGGACUGACACUGACGCUGAGGUGCGAAAGCGUGGGUAGCAAACAGGAUUAGAUACCCCUGUAGUC
This 464-nucleotide ribosomal RNA is filed under the name Vreelandella stevensii. RNAcentral describes it as "partial 16S ribosomal RNA". It matches the Rfam family "Bacterial small subunit ribosomal RNA", at positions 339 to 795 of the family's 1533-position model. Lineage: Bacteria; Pseudomonadati; Pseudomonadota; Gammaproteobacteria; Oceanospirillales; Halomonadaceae. The record is from RNAcentral.